This 460-nucleotide ribosomal RNA is filed under the name uncultured bacterium. RNAcentral's name for it is "partial 16S ribosomal RNA". It matches the Rfam family "Bacterial small subunit ribosomal RNA", at positions 338 to 795 of the family's 1533-position model. The record is from RNAcentral.
CCUACGGGAGGCAGCAGUGAGGAAUAUUGGUCAAUGGGCGUAAGCCUGAACCAGCCAAGUCGCGUGCGGGAUGAAGGUUCUAUGGAUCGUAAACCUCUUUUAUAAGGGACUAAAGUGCGGGACGUGUCCCGUUUUGUAUGUAUCUUAUGAAUAAGGAUCGGCUAACUCCGUGCCAGCAGCCGCGGUAAUACGGAGGAUCCGAGCGUUAUCCGGAUUUAUUGGGUUUAAAGGGUGCGUAGGCGGCCUUAUAAGUCAGCGGUGAAAGUCCGUGGCUCAACCAUGGAAUUGCCGUUGAUACUGGGAGGCUAGAGUAUGUUUGCGGCAGGCGGAAUGCGUGGUGUAGCGGUGAAAUGCUUAGAUAUCACACAGAACCCCGAUUGCGAAGGCAGCUUACCAAGCCAUGACUGACGCUGAUGCACGAAAGCGUGGGGAUCAAACAGGAUUAGAUACCCCUGUAGUC